RNAcentral lists this unclassified non-coding RNA (329 nucleotides) under soil metagenome. RNAcentral's name for it is "partial contains 5.8S ribosomal RNA, internal transcribed spacer 2, and large subunit ribosomal RNA". The stretch from base 1 to 120 matches the Rfam family "5.8S ribosomal RNA", at positions 35 to 154 of the family's 154-position model. The record is from RNAcentral.
GAUGAAGAACGCAGCGAAAUGCGAUAAGUAAUGUGAAUUGCAGAAUUCAGUGAAUCAUCGAAUCUUUGAACGCACAUUGCGCCCCCUGGUAUUCCGGGGGGCAUGCCUGUCCGAGCGUCAUUACAACCCUCAAGCUCAGCUUGGUGUUGGGCCCCGCCGCCCCGGCGGGCCCUAAAGUCAGUGGCGGUGCCGUCCGGCUCCGAGCGUAGUAAUUCUUCUCGCUCUGGAGGUCCGGUCGUGUGCUCGCCAGCAACCCCCAAUUUUUUUCAGGUUGACCUCGGAUCAGGUAGGGAUACCCACUGAACUUAAGCAUAUCAAUAAGCGGAGGA